UAAUGUGGUGACCUGGCUGUGUAUGAGAGCAUCCCUGUGUGCACGAGUGUCUACUGACUCAUGAAGGGCUAUUCAAUAGGGAAUGUGUGUCUAUCUGUGUGCAUGUGUAGCUCUGUGUCUGCAGAUGUGUAUGUGUGUGUGUGUAUGUGUAUCUGUGUGCAUGUGUAGCUCUGUGUCUGCAGAUGUGUGUGUGUGUAUUUGUGUAUGUGUAUCUGUGUGCACGUGUAGCUCUGUGUCUGCAGAUGUGUGUGUGUAUCUGUGUAUGUGUAUCUGUGUGCAUGUGUAGCUCUGCAGAUGUGUGUGUGUGUGUAUAUCUGUGUGCACGUGUAGCUCUGUGUCUGCAGAUGUGUGUGUGUGUGUGUGUAUCUGUGUGCAUGGGUAGCUCUGUGUUUGCAGAUGUGUGUGUGUGUGUGUGUAUAUGUGUGCAUGGGAAGCUCUGUGUCUGCAGAUGUGUGUGUGUAUCUGUGUGCAUGUGUAGCUCUGUAUCUGCAGAUGUGUUUGUGUGUGUGUGUAUCUGUGUGCAUGUGUAGCUCUGUGUUUGUAGGGGGGGGUGUGUGUGUAUCUGUGUGCAUGGGUAGCUCUGUGUCUGUAGGGGUGUGUGUGUGUGUAUCUGUGUGCAUGGGUAGCUCUGUGUCUGCAGAUGUGUAUGUGUGUGUGUAUCUGUGUGUGUGGGUAGCUCUGUGUCUGCAGAUAUGUGUGUGUGUGUGUAUCUGUGUGCAUGGGUAGCUCUGUGCAGGUGUGUGUGUGUGUAUGUGCGUGAAGGUAAGUUUGUGUGUAUAGAUAUAUAUGGGUGUGGAUGUGUGUGUGUAGGAAUGUGUGUGUGUAUAUAUAGAUAUAUGGCAGUGGGUGUGUGAGGAAUAGGUGUGUAUCUGUGUGUGUAUGUCUGUGUAUGGGGGGUAGGAC
Gopherus flavomarginatus (Mexican gopher tortoise) is the source of this 903-nucleotide long non-coding RNA. RefSeq lists it as uncharacterized. Lineage: Eukaryota; Metazoa; Chordata; Testudines; Testudinidae. The transcript is spliced from 4 exons. The record is from RefSeq and is a predicted model, not a curated record.